UCGGGAAUUUUGGGCAAUGGGCGAAAGCCUGACCCAGCAACGCCGCGUGAAGGAUGAAGUAUUUCGGUAUGUAAACUUCGAAAGAAUAGGAAGAAUAAAUGACGGUACUAUUUAUAAGGUCCGGCUAACUACGUGCCAGCAGCCGCGGUAAUACGUAGGGACCAAGCGUUGUUCGGAUUUACUGGGCGUAAAGGGCGCGUAGGCGGCUUGACAAGUCACUUGUGAAAUCUCUGGGCUUAACCCAGAACGGCCAAGUGAAACUGUCAUGCUAGAGUGCAGAAGGGGCAAUCGGAAUUCUUGGUGUAGCGGUGAAAUGCGUAGAUAUCAAGAGGAACACCUGAGGUGAAGACGGGUUGCUGGGCUGACACUGACGCUGAGGCGCGAAAGCCAGGGGAGCAAACGGGAUUAGAUACCCUUGUAGUCCCUGAGCGGGCUGGCAAGGCG
Molecule: ribosomal RNA, 444 nt
Filed under: uncultured bacterium
Lineage: Bacteria
Description: bacterial SSU rRNA
Rfam family: Bacterial small subunit ribosomal RNA
Source: RNAcentral